RNAcentral lists this ribosomal RNA (459 nucleotides) under uncultured bacterium. RNAcentral describes it as "partial 16S ribosomal RNA". It matches the Rfam family "Bacterial small subunit ribosomal RNA", at positions 338 to 795 of the family's 1533-position model. The record is from RNAcentral.
CCUACGGGAGGCAGCAGUGAGGAAUAUUGGUCAAUGGGCGCGAGCCUGAACCAGCCAAGUCGCGUGAGGGAAGACGGUCCUAUGGAUUGUCAACCUCUUUUGUCGGGGAGCAAAAGACGCCACGCGUGGCUUUCCGAGAGUACCCGAAGAAAAAGCAUCGGCUAACUCCGUGCCAGCAGCCGCGGUAAUACGGAGGAUGCGAGCGUUAGCCGGAUUUAUUGGGUUUAAAGGGUGCGCAGGCGGAAGAUCAAGUCAGCGGUAAAAUUGAGAGGCUCAACCUCUUCGAGCCGUUGAACCUGGUUUUCUUGAGUGAGUGAGAAGUAUGCGGAAUGCGUGGUGUAGCGGUGAAAUGCAUAGAUAUCACGCAGAACUCCGAUUGCGAAGGCAGCAUACCGGCGCUCAACUGACGCUCAUGCACGAAAGUGUGGGUAUCGAACAGGAUUAGAUACCCUAGUAGUC